GACGAGCGCUGGCGGCAUGCCUAAUACAUGCAAGUCGAGCGGACAGAUGAAGUACUUGCACUUCUGACGUUAGCGGCGAACGGGUGAGUAACACGUAAGGAAUCUACCUAUAAGCGGGGGAUAACAUUCGGAAACGGGUGCUAAUACCGCAUAAUAUCUUCUUCCGCAUGGAAGAAGAUUGAAAGACGGCUCUGCUGUCACUUAUAGAUGACCUUGCGGUGCAUUGGUUAGUUGGUGGGGUAAUGGCCUACCAAGACGAUGAUGCAUAGCCGACCUGAGAGGGUGAUCGGCCACAUUGGGACUGAGACACGGCCCAAACUCCUACGGGGGGCAGCAGUAGGGAAUCUUCCGCAAUGGGCGAAAGCCUGACGGAGCAAUGCCGCGUGAGUGAAGAAGGCCUUCGGGUCGUAAAACUCUGUUAUAAGAGAAGAACAAAUUGUAGAGUAACUGCUACAGUCUUGACGGUAUCUUAUCAGAAAGCCACGGCUAACUACGUGCCAGCAGCCGCCGUAA
Molecule: ribosomal RNA, 513 nt
Filed under: uncultured bacterium
Lineage: Bacteria
Description: partial 16S ribosomal RNA
Rfam family: Bacterial small subunit ribosomal RNA
Source: RNAcentral